This 417-nucleotide ribosomal RNA is filed under the name uncultured bacterium. Its description in RNAcentral is "bacterial SSU rRNA". It matches the Rfam family "Bacterial small subunit ribosomal RNA", at positions 954 to 1372 of the family's 1533-position model. The record is from RNAcentral.
GCAUAACGCGAAGAACCUUACCUAGGCUUGACAUGCAUCUCUAAGCGCGUGAAAGCGCGUGACCCUUCGGGGGAUUUGCACAGGUGCUGCAUGGCCGUCGUCAGCUCGUGUCGUGAGAUGUUGGGUUAAGUCCCGCAACGAGCGCAACCCUUGUGAACAGUUGCCAGCACUUAAGGUGGGAACUCUGUUCAGACUGCCCAGAUCAACUGGGAGGAAGGUGGGGACGACGUCAGGUCAGUAUGGCCCUUACGCCUAGGGCUGCACACGUACUACAAUGCCCAGCACAAUGAGAACCGAGACCGCGAGGUGGAGGAAAUCUAAAAAACUGGGCCCAGUUCGGAUUGGAGGCUGCAACUCGCCUCCAUGAAGUUGGAAUCGCUAGUAAUGGCGCAUCAUCUACGGCGCCGUGAAUACGUU